RNAcentral lists this ribosomal RNA (651 nucleotides) under uncultured Rhizophagus. RNAcentral describes it as "SSU rRNA". It matches the Rfam family "Eukaryotic small subunit ribosomal RNA", at positions 624 to 1276 of the family's 1831-position model. Lineage: Eukaryota; Fungi; Glomeromycota; Glomeromycetes; Glomerales; Glomeraceae. The record is from RNAcentral.
AAGCUCGUAGUUGAAUUUCGGGGUUAGUAGGUUGGUCGUGCCUUUGGUAUGUACUGGUCUCNCUGAUUCCUCCCUCCUGAUGAACCGUAAUGCCAUUAAUUUGGUGUUGCGGGGAAUCAGGACUGUUACUUUGAAAAAAUUAGAGUGUUUAAAGCAGGCCCGCGCUUGAAUACAUUAGCAUGGAAUAAUGAAAUAGGACGUUUGAUCUUAUUUUGUUGGUUUCUAGGAUNGACGUAAUGAUUAAUAGGGAUAGUUGGGGGCAUUAGUAUUCAAUUGUCAGAGGUGAAAUUCUUGGAUUUAUUGAAGACUAACUACUGCGAAAGCAUUUGCCAAGGAUGUUUUCAUUAAUCAAGAACGAAAGUUAGGGGAUCGAAGACGAUCAGAUACCGUCGUAGUCUUAACCAUAAACUAUGCCGACUAGGGAUCGGAUGAUGUUAAUUUUUUAAUGACUCAUUCGGCGCCUUACGGGAAACCAAAGUGUUUGGGUUCCGGGGGGAGUAUGGUCGCAAGGCUGAAACUUAAAGGAAUUGACGGAAGGGCACCACCAGGGGUGGAGCCUGCGGCUUAAUUUGACUCAACACGGGGAAACUCACCAGGUCCAGACAUAGCAAGGAUUGACAGACUGAGAGCUCUUUCUUGAUUCUAUGGGUG